Molecule: ribosomal RNA, 492 nt
Filed under: uncultured bacterium
Lineage: Bacteria
Description: partial 16S ribosomal RNA
Rfam family: Bacterial small subunit ribosomal RNA
Source: RNAcentral
AGUGAACGCUGGCGGUAGGCCUAACACAUGCAAGUCGAACGGCAGCACAGUAAGAGCUUGCUCCUACGGGUGGCGAGUGGCGGGCGGGUGAGGCAUACAUCGGAAUCUACUUUUUCGUGGGGGACAACGUAGGGAAACUUACGCUACUACCGCAUACGACCUACGGGUGAAAGCAGGGGAUCUUCGGACCUUGCGCGAUUGAAUGAGCCGAUGUCGGAUUAGCUAGUUGGCGGGGUAAGGGCCCACCAAGGCGACGAUCCGUAGCUGGUCUGAGAGGAUGAUCGGCCACACUGGAACUGAGACACGGUCCAGACUCCUACGGGAGGCAGCAGUGGGGAAUCUUGCACAAUGGGCGCAAGCCUGAUCCAGCCAUGCCGCGUGGGUGAAGAAGGCCUUCGGGUUGUAAAGCCCUUUUGUUGGGAAGGAAAAGCAGCGGGUUAAUCCCCCGCUGUUCUGACGGUACCCAAACAGUAAGCCCCGGCUAACUUCGUG